GACGAAGGGGGCUAGCGUUGCUCGGAAUCACUGGGCGUAAAGCGCACGUAGGCGGAUUGUUAAGUCAGGGGUGAAAUCCUGGAGCUCAACUCCAGAACUGCCUUUGAUACUGGCGAUCUUGAGUCCGGGAGAGGUGAGUGGAACUGCGAGUGUAGAGGUGAAAUUCGUAGAUAUUCGCAAGAACACCAGUGGCGAAGGCGGCUCUGGCCCGGUACUGACGCUGAGGUGCGAAAGCGUGGGGAGCAAACAGG
RNAcentral lists this ribosomal RNA (251 nucleotides) under uncultured bacterium. RNAcentral's name for it is "partial 16S ribosomal RNA". It matches the Rfam family "Bacterial small subunit ribosomal RNA", at positions 524 to 776 of the family's 1533-position model. The record is from RNAcentral.